UACGGAGGGGGCUAGCGUUGUUCGGAAUUACUGGGCGUAAAGCGCACGUAGGCGGCUUUGUAAGUUAGAGGUGAAAGCCCGGGGCUCAACUCCGGAAUUGCCUUUAAGACUGCAUCGCUUGAAUCAUGGAGAGGUGAGUGGAAUUCCGAGUGUAGAGGUGAAAUUCGUAGAUAUUCGGAAGAACACCAGUGGCGAAGGCGGCUCACUGGACAUGUAUUGACGCUGAGGUGCGAAAGCGUGGGGAGCAAACAGG
This 253-nucleotide ribosomal RNA is filed under the name uncultured bacterium. RNAcentral's name for it is "partial 16S ribosomal RNA". It matches the Rfam family "Bacterial small subunit ribosomal RNA", at positions 524 to 776 of the family's 1533-position model. The record is from RNAcentral.